This 238-nucleotide ribosomal RNA is filed under the name uncultured bacterium. Its description in RNAcentral is "partial 16S ribosomal RNA". It matches the Rfam family "Bacterial small subunit ribosomal RNA", at positions 96 to 334 of the family's 1533-position model. The record is from RNAcentral.
CGGCGGACGGGUGAGUAGCGCGUGGGUAACCUGCCUCAUACAGGGGGAUAACAGUUGGAAACGGCUGCUAAUACCGCAUAAGCGCACAGUACCGCAUGGUACGGUGUGAAAAACUCCGGUGGUAUGAGAUGGACCCGCGUCUGAUUAGGUAGUUGGUGGGGUAACGGCCUACCAAGCCGACGAUCAGUAGCCGACCUGAGAGGGUGACCGGCCACAUUGGGACUGAGACACGGCCCAA